GAGGCACCGAUCCCGGUCCGCCGCCGCCCGCGAGGCCCACCUUGGCCACGGCUCUGGAGGCCAGUGCCU
Non-coding RNA from Pongo pygmaeus (Bornean orangutan), 69 nucleotides. NCBI's taxonomy places the organism in Eukaryota, Metazoa, Chordata, Mammalia, Primates, Hominidae. The record is from Rfam.